Molecule: long non-coding RNA, 419 nt
Organism: Thrips palmi
Lineage: Eukaryota; Metazoa; Arthropoda; Insecta; Thysanoptera; Thripidae
Exons: 3
Source: RefSeq, a predicted model, not a curated record
UCGCGUCGCAAUUUGACUUGAGUUUUUAUGCGCAUUGGUACCGAUAUUUUCAAACCGGCCGCAAUUUCCCGGAAGUGGAUAGCAGCCUUCGAUUCUCGCUAAACCGCGCAAGUGCUCGAUCGUCGUUCAUUAUUCGAGCACCUGUGUGUGCAAUUAGAGGCCAAGCCGAGAACCGCGGAUUAAUUCUGUGUUUAUUUUCUCGACACUGCAGCGGAGGCCCCGGCGGUGCGGCACCACGGACUCGACGACCACGCCGACGCCGUCGGCACUGACGACAUGCGAAGAAAACGGUACGUGUACUCCACCCCGGUGGUGCAGCCCGCCAUCGUGCGGCCCGCCGUGUACGCCGUGCCCGCGGCAUACCCCGCCGCCUACCCCGCGGCCUACCCUGCUGGCGGCUACGGCGCGGUGGUGGCGCG